RNAcentral lists this ribosomal RNA (462 nucleotides) under Triticum aestivum (bread wheat). Its description in RNAcentral is "partial small subunit ribosomal RNA". The record is from RNAcentral. Lineage: Eukaryota; Viridiplantae; Streptophyta; Magnoliopsida; Poales; Poaceae.
AUGCCCAGCGUACAGGGCCGCUCACACAGCAGGCAAGCAGCACCGACGCCCACCAUGGCCAACACUACCUCCUGGUCCAGUGGCCUGUGCGGCUGCUUCGACGACGUUGGCGGCUGUUGCCUGACCUUCUUCUGCCCCUGCGUCACCUUCGGGAGGAUCGCCGCGAUCGUCGACAAGGGAGAAACAUCUUGCUUUGUGAGCGGGACCGGGUAUCUGCUCCUGAACUGGUUGACGGGGUUGGCCUGCCUCCACUCCUUCCGCUACCGCUCCAAGCUGCGGGAACAGUAUGGCCUCCAGGAGAAGCCCUGCCCCGACUGCUGCGUCCACAUGUUCUGCGAGGCCUGCGCCCUCUGCCAGGAGUACCGCGAGCUCAAGACCCGCGGCUUCGACAUGAGCGCCGGAUGGCAGGAGAAUGGCGCCGCGACCGCCGCGCCCCAGAUGAACCCAGGGAUGACUCGCUAG